AGCCUUAGGCUACUUUUAAGGUGAGUCCUGCCCAGUGAGAUUUUUUUAACGGCCGCAGUACCUUGACUGUGCUAAGGUAGCGUAAUCAGUUGGCUUUUAAUUGGAGUCGAGAAUGAAUGGGCUAACGGGGGCCAGCUGUCUCUAAUUUGCUUUAUUGAAUUUACUUAGGGGGUGAAAAUUCCUCCUUUUAGAAAAAAGACGAGAAGACCCUUGGAGUUUUGAAUAAAAGUUUUAACACUUCCUUUUUUGUUGGGGCGACACGAAGGCAUACUUAACCCUUCUUUUAUAGGAUAUACUUGACGGAUUUUUCAAGCUAGAUUUAAACUACCCUAGGGAUAACAGCAUAAUGUUUCUUUAAGCUUGUGACCUCGAUGUUGGACUAGGAACUAAAUGACUAGCCGUCAAGUUAGUUUGUUCUGUUCGAACUUUUUUCUCCUACAU
This 441-nucleotide ribosomal RNA is filed under the name Palliohedyle sutteri. Its description in RNAcentral is "partial 16S ribosomal RNA". It matches the Rfam family "Bacterial large subunit ribosomal RNA", at positions 1829 to 2601 of the family's 2925-position model. Lineage: Eukaryota; Metazoa; Mollusca; Gastropoda; Acochlidiacea; Acochlidiidae. The record is from RNAcentral.